UAGGGAAUCUUCCGCAAUGGACGAAAGUCUGACGGAGCAACGCCGCGUGAGUGAUGAAGGUUUUCGGAUCGUAAAACUCUAUUAUUAGGGAAGAACAAAUGCGUAAGUAACUGUGCGCAUCUUGACGGUACCUAAUCAGAAAGCCACGGCUAACUACGUGCCAGCAGCCGCGGUAAUACGUAGGUGGCAAGCGUUAUCCGGAAUUAUUGGGCGUAAAGCGCGCGUAGGCGGUUUCUUAAGUCUGAUGUGAAAGCCCACGGCUCAACCGUGGAGGGUCAUUGGAAACUGGGAAACUUGAGUACAGAAGAGGAAAGUGGAAUUCCAUGUGUAGCGGUGAAAUGCGCAGAGAUAUGGAGGAACACCAGUGGCGAAGGCGACUUUCUGGUCUGUAACUGACGCUGAUGUGCGAAAGCGUGGGGAUCAAACA
Molecule: ribosomal RNA, 427 nt
Filed under: uncultured bacterium
Lineage: Bacteria
Description: partial 16S ribosomal RNA
Rfam family: Bacterial small subunit ribosomal RNA
Source: RNAcentral